Molecule: RNase P RNA, 400 nt
Filed under: Candidatus Kuenenbacteria bacterium CG10_big_fil_rev_8_21_14_0_10_36_11
Lineage: Bacteria; Candidatus Kueneniibacteriota
Also listed under: 1 other name
Description: RNase P RNA component class A
Rfam family: Bacterial RNase P class A
About the family: Ribonuclease P (RNase P) is a ubiquitous endoribonuclease, found in archaea, bacteria and eukarya as well as chloroplasts and mitochondria.
Source: RNAcentral
CCAGGCAGGUGAACGGCUGCUCUGAUGUAAAAUCGGAGAGGAAAGUCCGGACACCAUAAAAAAGAUAGUUCUGAAACAGAACCAAGUAUAAGAAUUACAAAACAGAAAAAUAAUCCACGAUCGUUUUAUUUUUCUUUUGGCCAAUUCAAAACUUUGAGCAAGUGCCACAGAAAAUAAACCGCUCCGGCAGCGCAAGCUUAUCGGAGUAAGGAUGAAACCGCGGUGUAAGAGACCACGCGCUUCUAUGGCGACAUAGAUUUGGGCAAACCUUAUCUGGUGCAACUCCGUUAAAUCGGAGGCUUAGAUAGAUGGCCGUAUUUAUUCGUAAUAAUUCGUAUUUUUUUAAAUUCGUAUUAUUCGCGACUAAGACAGAAUCUGGCUUAUGAUCCUGCCUGGACAA